RNAcentral lists this unclassified non-coding RNA (406 nucleotides) under soil metagenome. RNAcentral's name for it is "partial contains 5.8S ribosomal RNA, internal transcribed spacer 2, and large subunit ribosomal RNA". The stretch from base 1 to 121 matches the Rfam family "5.8S ribosomal RNA", at positions 35 to 154 of the family's 154-position model. The record is from RNAcentral.
GAUGAAGAACGUAGCGAAAUGCGAUAAGUAAUGUGAAUUGCAGAAUUCAGUGAAUCAUCGAAUCUUUGAACGCACCUUGCGCCCUUUGGCCAUUCCGAAGGGCAUGCCUGUUUGAGUAUCAUGAACACCUCAACUCUUCAUGGUUUUCCAUGAUGAGCUUGGACUAUGGGGGUCUUGCUGGCCUGUGGGUCGGCUCCUCUCAAAUGAAUCAGCUUGCCGGUUUUUGGUGGGCAUCACAGGUGUGAUAACUAUCUACGCUUGUGGUUUUCCACCAGGGUAACCUUCAGCAGUGGAGGUUCACUGGAGCUUACAAAUGUCUCUCCUCUGUGAGGACAGCCCUUUGAAUGUUUGAUCUCAAAUCAGGUAGGACUACCCGCUGAACUUAAGCAUAUCAAUAAGCGGAGGA